This 516-nucleotide ribosomal RNA is filed under the name Paratya australiensis. Its description in RNAcentral is "partial 16S ribosomal RNA". It matches the Rfam family "Bacterial large subunit ribosomal RNA", at positions 1831 to 2599 of the family's 2925-position model. The record is from RNAcentral. Lineage: Eukaryota; Metazoa; Arthropoda; Malacostraca; Decapoda; Atyidae.
UCUACUGGGAUAAAAUGUGUAGUCUGGCCUGCCCACUGAAAUUUAAAGGGCCGCGGUAUCUGAACCGUGCUAAGGUAGCAUAAUCAAUAGUCUCUUAAUUGGGGUCUAGAAUGAACGGCCGGACGAAAAAUUAGCUGUCUUGUGUGUAAAAUUGAACUUUACUUUUAAGUGAAAAGGCUUAAAUUUAAUGAGGGGACGAUAAGACCCUAUGAAGCUUAAUGUAAAUUAUUUUAAAGUAAUUUUAAACAAUUGGGUGGUUUAUUUUUAUAAUCCUUUACAUUGUGCUGGGGCGGCUGUGAUAUAAAUUUAACUGUUAUUCGGUAAAAAAUAAUUAUAUUUAGACAAAUUUGAUCCUUUACUUAUGGAUUACAAGAUUUAAGUUACUCUAGGGAUAACAGCGUAAUUCUUCUUGAGAGUUCCUAUCGACAGAAGUAGUUGCGACCUCGAUGUUGAAUUAAAAUUUCGUUAAGGUGUAGGAGCUUUAAUAGUAGGUCUGUUCGACCUUUAAAAUUUUAC